CCCCUCCCUCUCCCCGGCCUGCGUCACCGCUCUCCCAGCCGAGUGGCGGCCGCCUCUCUCCCCGACGCUGACGUGGCCGCUACGCCUGACUACCCGACCGCCCGCCGGAAGCGCAGCCCUUGUAGGGCGCAGACUCCUGAGGGCUCCGCGGGGCCGGAGGCCGCACAACAGCGGCCCGCGGUCUCUGGCCGGGCUCUCAUCUUCCAAACGACUCCCCGGUCCCGCAAAGGAGCUUUCACCGUGGGACCACAUCUCUAAUGCUGAAAAGCAGCUGAAAAUACCCAGGACCACCUGACUCUCUGACUCAGUGGGACUCAACCCCUGACCUCAGGGGAGUUUCCUGAGCCAUGAAGGAAGCCUUGAGCUGAGCACAGAGGGAAACAUGGGAAAGGAUGUUGAUUAUUAUUUUCCUAGCUAUUAUCCUGACCUGAUUACUCUUGUCAUUAUGGGCUCUCAUUAAAGCUCAGUUGAGGAUGACACUAAA
Capra hircus (goat) is the source of this 484-nucleotide long non-coding RNA. RefSeq lists it as uncharacterized. The transcript is spliced from 2 exons. Lineage: Eukaryota; Metazoa; Chordata; Mammalia; Artiodactyla; Bovidae. The record is from RefSeq and is a predicted model, not a curated record.